Molecule: ribosomal RNA, 374 nt
Filed under: uncultured organism
Description: partial 16S ribosomal RNA
Rfam family: Bacterial small subunit ribosomal RNA
Source: RNAcentral
GGGGGGGCAAGCGUUGUUCGGAAUUACUGGGCGUAAAGGGCGCGCAGGCGGGCGGGAAAGUCUCUCGUGAAAUCCCACGGCUCAACCGUGGAACUGCGGGAGAUACUACUCGUCUUGAGUUCGGGAGAGGAGUGUGGAAUUCCCAGUGUAGCGGUGAAAUGCGUAGAUAUUGGGAGGAACACCGGUGGCGAAGGCGGCACUCUGGACCGGUACUGACGCUGAGGCGCGAAAGCUAGGGGAGCAAACGGGAUUAGAUACCCCGGGUAGUCCUAGCUGUAAACGCUGAGCACUUGGUGUAGCGGGUAUCGACCCCCCUGCUGUGCCGAAGCUAACGCAUUAAGUGCUCCGCCUGGGGGAGUACGGUCGCAAGGCUG